This 253-nucleotide ribosomal RNA is filed under the name uncultured bacterium. RNAcentral's name for it is "partial 16S ribosomal RNA". It matches the Rfam family "Bacterial small subunit ribosomal RNA", at positions 524 to 776 of the family's 1533-position model. The record is from RNAcentral.
UACGUAGGGUGCGAGCGUUAAUCGGAAUUACUGGGCGUAAAGAGCUCGUAGGCGGUUCGUCGCGUCGGCUGUGAAAACCUGAGGCUCAACCUCAGGCCUGCAGUCGAUACGGGCGGACUUGAGUACUGCAGGGGAGACUGGAAUUCCUGGUGUAGCGGUGAAAUGCGCAGAUAUCAGGAGGAACACCGGUGGCGAAGGCGGGUCUCUGGGCAGUAACUGACGCUGAGGAGCGAAAGCGUGGGGAGCGAACAGG